RNAcentral lists this ribosomal RNA (440 nucleotides) under uncultured bacterium. RNAcentral's name for it is "partial 16S ribosomal RNA". It matches the Rfam family "Bacterial small subunit ribosomal RNA", at positions 338 to 795 of the family's 1533-position model. The record is from RNAcentral.
CCUACGGGAGGCAGCAGUAGGGAAUAUUGCUCAAUGGGGGAAACCCUGAAGCAGCAACGCCACGUGGAGGAUGAAGGUUUUCGGAUUGUUAACUCCUUUUGUUAGAGAAGAUAAUGACGGUAUCUAACGAAUAAGCACCGGCUAACUCCUGGCCAGCAGCCGCGGUAAUACGGAGGGUGCAAGCGUUACUCGGAAUCAAUGGGCGUAAAGAGCGCGUAGGCGGGAUAGCAAGGCAGAUGUGAAAUCCUAUGGCUUAACCAUAGAACUGCAUUUGAAACUGUUAUUCUAGAGUAUGGGAGAGGUAGGUGGAAUUCUUGGUGUAGGGGUAAAAUCCGUAGAGAUCAAGAGGAAUACUCAUUGCGAAGGCGACCUGCUAGAACAUAACUGACGCUGAUGCGCGAAAGCGUGGGGAGCAAACAGGAUUAGAUACCCUUGUAGUC